This 69-nucleotide transfer RNA is filed under the name Marmota monax (woodchuck). Its description in RNAcentral is "tRNA.Undet". The stretch from base 3 to 64 matches the Rfam family "tRNA", at positions 6 to 65 of the family's 71-position model. Rfam says of the family: Transfer RNA (tRNA) molecules are approximately 80 nucleotides in length. Their secondary structure includes four short double-helical elements and three loops (D, anti-codon, and T loops). Further hydrogen bonds mediate the characteristic L-shaped molecular structure. tRNAs have two regions of fundamental functional importance: the anti-codon, which is responsible for specific mRNA codon recognition, and the 3' end, to which the tRNAs corresponding amino acid is attached (by aminoacyl-tRNA synthetases). tRNAs cope with the degeneracy of the genetic code in two manners: having more than one tRNA (with a specific anti-codon) for a particular amino acid; and 'wobble' base-pairing, i.e. permitting non-standard base-pairing at the 3rd anti-codon position. Lineage: Eukaryota; Metazoa; Chordata; Mammalia; Rodentia; Sciuridae. The record is from RNAcentral.
AUUGUGGCUCAGUGGUAGAGUGCUUGCCAAGCAAGUGUGAGGGCACUGGGUUCAAUUCCCAGCACCAUA